Non-coding RNA from Gossypium arboreum, 124 nucleotides. NCBI's taxonomy places the organism in Eukaryota, Viridiplantae, Streptophyta, Magnoliopsida, Malvales, Malvaceae. The record is from Rfam.
AAUAAGAGAAUGACAAAUCAGAUUUUUCUUCCUAAUUUUUUAGCUUUCUCCCCAUGAAAAAAUUUAAAUCCAACUAAAAAUGUUAAAAAUUAAGAGGAAAAAUCUGAUUUAUCAUUCUCCUAUU